UACGGAGGGUGCAAGCGUUAUCCGGAUUUACUGGGUUUAAAGGGUGCGUAGGCGGCCUGAUAAGUCAGUGGUGAAAGCUCUCAGCUUAACUGGGAAACUGCCAUUGAAACUGUCAGGCUUGAGUACAAUUGAAGUGGGCGGAAUACAUCAUGUAGCGGUGAAAUGCUUAGAUAUGAUGUAGAACACCGAUUGCGAAGGCAGCUCACUAAAUUGCAACUGACGCUGAGGCACGAAAGCGUGGGUAGCGAACAGG
RNAcentral lists this ribosomal RNA (253 nucleotides) under uncultured bacterium. RNAcentral's name for it is "partial 16S ribosomal RNA". It matches the Rfam family "Bacterial small subunit ribosomal RNA", at positions 524 to 776 of the family's 1533-position model. The record is from RNAcentral.